Molecule: long non-coding RNA, 331 nt
Filed under: Panax ginseng (ginseng)
Lineage: Eukaryota; Viridiplantae; Streptophyta; Magnoliopsida; Apiales; Araliaceae
Description: long non-coding RNA (PGIN_LNC010115)
Source: RNAcentral
UUCGGUAACAAAAGAACGUGUGGUGUGCUCCGUUCCAUAAUUAAAUUUAUGUCAUCAAUUUGUCACUCCUUUCACAAUAUUAACAGAAUCAAAGCAAUAGGAUUUGGAAUCUCACAAGUUGAGUUGAGGCAUCUUCAAUCCAAGUAUAUUUGCUAAAUUCUUUGCUUUUAAAAUAUAUAUAAAAAAAAAAACUUUACAAUAUUCCGUAUGGUUUUAGUAAGAGUUUCUGUAUUAAUUGGUUAUACGUAAAGUUUCAGGAUGCCGUGACAAAUCAGAUGCUCCGAAAGCAAUCUCCGAAUAAUCAAACAAUCCGUCCAGCGCCACAUAGUCG